Molecule: unclassified non-coding RNA, 337 nt
Filed under: soil metagenome
Description: partial contains 5.8S ribosomal RNA, internal transcribed spacer 2, and large subunit ribosomal RNA
Rfam family: 5.8S ribosomal RNA (bases 1-120)
Source: RNAcentral
GAUGAAGAACGCAGCGAAAUGCGAUAAGUAGUGUGAAUUGCAGAAUUCAGUGAAUCAUCGAAUCUUUGAACGCACAUUGCGCCCCUUGAUAUUCCAUGGGGCAUGCCUGUUCGAGCGUCAUUUGUACCUUCAAGCUCUGCUUGGUGUUGGGUGUUUGUCUCGCCUCUGCGUGUAGACUCGCCUCAAAACAAUUGGCAGCCGGCGUAUUGAUUUCGGAGCGCAGUACAUCUCGCGCUUUGCACUCAUAACGACGACGUCCAAAAGUACAUUUUUACACUCUUGACCUCGGAUCAGGUAGGGAUACCCGCUGAACUUAAGCAUAUCAAUAAGCGGAGGA